This 247-nucleotide ribosomal RNA is filed under the name uncultured bacterium. Its description in RNAcentral is "partial 16S ribosomal RNA". It matches the Rfam family "Bacterial small subunit ribosomal RNA", at positions 523 to 769 of the family's 1533-position model. The record is from RNAcentral.
AUACGUAGGUGGCAAGCGUUGUCCGGAUUUACUGGGUGUAAAGGGCGUGUAGCCGGGUCGGCAAGUCAGAUGUGAAAUCCACGGGCUUAACUCGUGAACUGCAUUUGAAACUGUUGAUCUUGAGUAUCGGAGAGGCAAUCGGAAUUCCUAGUGUAGCGGUGAAAUGCGUAGAUAUUAGGAGGAACACCAGUGGCGAAGGCGGAUUGCUGGACGACAACUGACGGUGAGGCGCGAAAGCGUGGGGAGC